AUUUACCCUUGUGGCUCAUUUUUGUCUAAUUUUCAGAAUAUAGAAGUAGGAAAAUGGAACCAUUUAUGACCCAAAGAGAACUGAAGUGCUGGAAAUAUUUCAGAAUUGUGCACAAACAAUGGUUCUUCCUGUUUCUGCAAUGAGGUCCUCCUCAUACAAGUCUCACCAAGGAGUUCACAAACAAGCUCCGUAGCCUGUACUUCUCUGAAGUGGCAUAUAUUCAUGUUGUUAGAGUAUCCCUAUUUGAUUGUGUUAGUGUGAAGUCUACUGAAUGUCUCUCUCAGCUUUGUAUGUUACUCAUUCCUUCCUUUCUAGAUGAGUAAAUAUUUCUCCAAAUCUUA
Alligator mississippiensis (American alligator) is the source of this 341-nucleotide long non-coding RNA. RefSeq lists it as uncharacterized. The record is from RefSeq and is a predicted model, not a curated record. Lineage: Eukaryota; Metazoa; Chordata; Crocodylia; Alligatoridae. The transcript is spliced from 2 exons.